This 468-nucleotide ribosomal RNA is filed under the name uncultured bacterium. RNAcentral describes it as "partial 16S ribosomal RNA". It matches the Rfam family "Bacterial small subunit ribosomal RNA", at positions 28 to 507 of the family's 1533-position model. The record is from RNAcentral.
GACGAACGCUGGCGGCGUGCUUAACACAUGCAAGUCGAACGGAAAGGCCCUGCUUUUGUGGGGUGCUCGAGUGGCGAACGGGUGAGUAACACGUGAGUAACCUGCCCUUGACUUUGGGAUAACUUCAGGAAACUGGGGCUAAUACCGGAUAGGAGCUCCUGCUGCAUGGUGGGGGUUGGAAAGUUUCGGCGGUUGGGGAUGGACUCGCGGCUUAUCAGCUUGUUGGUGGGGUAGUGGCUUACCAAGGCUUUGACGGGUAGCCGGCCUGAGAGGGUGACCGGCCACAUUGGGACUGAGGUACGGCCCAGACUGCUACGGGAGGCAGAAGUGGGGAAUAUUGCACAAUGGGCGGAAGCCUGAUGCAGCAACGCCGCGUGCGGGAUGACGGCCUUCGGGUUGUAAACCGCUUUCGCCUGUGACGAAGCGUGAGUGACGGUAAUGGGUAAAGAAGCACCGGCUAACUACGUG